AUUGAACGCUGGCGGCAUGCCUUACACAUGCAAGUCGAACGGUAACAGGUCUUCGGAUGCUGACGAGUGGCGAACGGGUGAGUAAUACAUCGGAACGUGCCCAGACGUGGGGGAUAACGAGGCGAAAGCUUUGCUAAUACCGCAUACGAUCUAAGGAUGAAAGCAGGGGACCGCAAGGCCUUGCGCGUUUGGAGCGGCCGAUGGCAGAUUAGGUAGUUGGUGGGAUAAAAGCUUACCAAGCCGACGAUCUGUAGCUGGUCUGAGAGGACGACCAGCCACACUGGGACUGAGACACGGCCCAGACUCCUACGGGAGGCAGCAGUGGGGAAUUUUGGACAAUGGGAGAAAGCCUGAUCCAGCAAUGCCGCGUGCAGGAUGAAGGCCUUCGGGUUGUAAACUGCUUUUGUACGGAACGAAAAGGCUCUGGCUAAUACCUGGGGCACAUGACGGUACCGUAAGAAUAAGCACCGGCUAACUACGUG
This 482-nucleotide ribosomal RNA is filed under the name uncultured bacterium. RNAcentral's name for it is "partial 16S ribosomal RNA". It matches the Rfam family "Bacterial small subunit ribosomal RNA", at positions 30 to 507 of the family's 1533-position model. The record is from RNAcentral.